This 253-nucleotide ribosomal RNA is filed under the name uncultured bacterium. RNAcentral's name for it is "partial 16S ribosomal RNA". It matches the Rfam family "Bacterial small subunit ribosomal RNA", at positions 524 to 776 of the family's 1533-position model. The record is from RNAcentral.
UACGAAGGGGGCUAGCGUUGCUCGGAAUCACUGGGCGUAAAGCGCACGUAGGCGGAUUGUUAAGUCAGGGGUGAAAUCCUGGAGCUCAACUCCAGAACUGCCUUUGAUACUGGCGAUCUUGAGACCGGGAGAGGAGGGUGGAAUACCCAGUGUAGAGGUGAAAUUCGUAGAUAUUGGGUGGAACACCGGUGGCGAAAGCGGCUCUCUGGCCCGGAUCUGACGCUGAGGCGCGAAAGCGUGGGGAGCAAACAGG